RNAcentral lists this long non-coding RNA (656 nucleotides) under Malus domestica (apple). RNAcentral describes it as "long non-coding RNA (MDOM_LNC009770)". Lineage: Eukaryota; Viridiplantae; Streptophyta; Magnoliopsida; Rosales; Rosaceae. The record is from RNAcentral.
AGUUAUUCUAGUUAGCUCACAGAUGAUCUCUCUUGAACAAUUAUGAACUCCAAAUACUAGAUGUAAGUCAUGGAUUCCCUUUUUCUUGUAUGCUGGAUGUUGUAGAAAAUAUUCUCAAUGAAUAAAACGAGUGAUCUGUUUUCAUUAUUUUUUGCCAAACGAGUGUAAAUUGGCAUGUUACAAAUCAAAGAGGUUUGUCGUACAGUCUAACUGGAAUGACAGUGUGAUUAGAGGUGGCAAAUCAACUCAUUGAGUUGCUAAUAGGUACCCAUCAAGACCCAGUUAAUUUGACGUCACCAUAAUAUAGAAGUGAGAUUGGUAGUGGUGAAGAGUGUAAGGUGAAAUCAAACUAAAUGAGUUUUAAUAGGUACCCAUUAACAAUUAAAUUGGUUGAUUUGUCACCUCUAACUGUGACAAUAUCUCAAGUUAAUUACUCAAUGUUAUAUAAAAACGUUCAUGAAAUUGUGAUUGGCUUGAGAUAGUGACACAGUGGAUGCACGUUUCAUAUAAACUGCCUACGAUUCCAAAUCUAAGCAUUAUUUUGCUUACCGUGUUGGUGUUGGAGACCACACUUUGCAUCAUUGCAUUGCAUGUGAAUGAGAUAGCGCAAAGCUCUCGGAGCGAGGGGACAAGAAAUAUAUAAAACAAGCUUGGAG